CCUUUGGCGUCGAGCGGCGGACGGGUGAGUAAUGCUUGGGAAUGUGCCUUAUGGUGGGGGACAACAGUUGGAAACGACUGCUAAUACCGCAUAAUGUCUUCGGACCAAAGUGGGGGACCUUCGGGCCUCACGCCAUAAGAUCAGCCCAAGUGGGAUUAGCUAGUUGGUAAGGUAAUGGCUUACCAAGGCGACGAUCCCUAGCUGGUUUGAGAGGAUGAUCAGCCACACUGGGACUGAGACACGGCCCAGACUCCUACGGGAGGCAGCAGUGGGGAAUAUUGCACAAUGGGCGCAAGCCUGAUGCAGCCAUGCCGCGUGUGUGAAGAAGGCCUUCGGGUUGUAAAGCACUUUCAGUAAGGAGGAAAGGUUAAGUGUUAAUAGCACUUAGCUGUGACGUUACUUACAGAAGAAGCACCGGCUAACUCCGUGCCAGCAGCCGCGGUAAUACGGAGGGUGCGAGCGUUAAUCGGAAUUACUGGGCGUAAAGCGUACGCAGGCGGUUUGUUAAGCGAGAUGUGAAAGCCCCGGGCUCAACCUGGGAACUGCAUUUCGAACUGGCAAACUAGAGUGUGAUAGAGGGUGGUAGAAUUUCAGGUGUA
RNAcentral lists this ribosomal RNA (599 nucleotides) under Pseudoalteromonas arabiensis. RNAcentral's name for it is "bacterial SSU rRNA". It matches the Rfam family "Bacterial small subunit ribosomal RNA", at positions 82 to 677 of the family's 1533-position model. Lineage: Bacteria; Pseudomonadati; Pseudomonadota; Gammaproteobacteria; Alteromonadales; Pseudoalteromonadaceae. The record is from RNAcentral.